Molecule: transfer RNA, 85 nt
Filed under: Candidatus Altimarinota bacterium
Lineage: Bacteria; Candidatus Altimarinota
Description: tRNA-Leu
Rfam family: tRNA
About the family: Transfer RNA (tRNA) molecules are approximately 80 nucleotides in length. Their secondary structure includes four short double-helical elements and three loops (D, anti-codon, and T loops). Further hydrogen bonds mediate the characteristic L-shaped molecular structure. tRNAs have two regions of fundamental functional importance: the anti-codon, which is responsible for specific mRNA codon recognition, and the 3' end, to which the tRNAs corresponding amino acid is attached (by aminoacyl-tRNA synthetases). tRNAs cope with the degeneracy of the genetic code in two manners: having more than one tRNA (with a specific anti-codon) for a particular amino acid; and 'wobble' base-pairing, i.e. permitting non-standard base-pairing at the 3rd anti-codon position.
Source: RNAcentral
GCCCGAAUGGUGGAAUUGGUAGACACGCGGGACUCAAAAUCCCGUUUCGCGAGAAGUGAGGGUUCGAUUCCCUCUUCGGGCACCA